CCAGGUAGUGUAAUUUUGCCAUUCGUCCAGAUGAGGGCAACGCGUUGAGAGACGAGGCAGCUAAGCGCUCCAGCAGUGACUGAGAUGGAAAACAAACAGGAGGAAGGGAGAUUACAGAAUGGAUGACGCUGAGAGGCCUGCCACCAUGCCGUACCUGUCAAAGCCUGUCACAAAAAUCUCUCUGCCCUGCGGGUGCUGCGCAGGGUACAGCUGCAUGGAGACGGUGGCAGGGGGGGUGCAUGCUGCAGUGUAGCUCUCUGUGUGGGUGUCAAGGUAACCUUUGACCUCCAGUGACCCGCUGACCAGCAGCCAAUCCGGCCAUCCAACUGGGAGCGAGGUGACGGCCCAGAGGGCACAAGGAUCAUGAAACUCACUCACCACCUAAACGACCGUGUAAACAUUCAAAUCAAGUGGGAGAAAGAAAAACACCAAACUUGUGGGCAGAUAUUUUCCUCAACAGUUGUGAUAUAUUGCCUUUUGUUUUCCAUUUGCAUUUUUUCCUCCCCUCUUGCUCCUCUUUGCCUCCUUAUCAGUUGUCAAGUUUAAUUGCACUCUCCUGUUCAAAACCACUGUGAUUCCUUCCUUAACACGUCUCCUCGUUCUGGCCUCUCUAUUUCUGUCAUCGCAGUAUUUUUAGCUCAGCUUUAUUGCUGCAUCUCAAUCGCUCAUCUUCUCUGGCGUCCAUAUGAUAUUUGUCUCAACACU
Myripristis murdjan (pinecone soldierfish) is the source of this 705-nucleotide long non-coding RNA. RefSeq lists it as uncharacterized. Lineage: Eukaryota; Metazoa; Chordata; Actinopteri; Holocentriformes; Holocentridae. The record is from RefSeq and is a predicted model, not a curated record. The transcript has 4 exons.